This 442-nucleotide ribosomal RNA is filed under the name uncultured bacterium. RNAcentral describes it as "bacterial SSU rRNA". It matches the Rfam family "Bacterial small subunit ribosomal RNA", at positions 1052 to 1504 of the family's 1533-position model. The record is from RNAcentral.
UCGUCAGCUCGUGUCGUGAGAUGUUGGGUUAAGUCCCGCAACGAGCGCAACCCUUGUUGUCAGUUACUAACAUUAAGUUGAGGAAUAUAGAGAGACUGCCGAGGUUAACUCGGAGGAAGGUGGGGAUGACGUCAAAUCAUCAUGCCCCUUAUGUUCUGGGCUACACACGUGCUACAAUGGCCGGUACAGAGAGACGCAAAACCGCGAGGCGGAGCAAAUCACUAAAACCGGUCCCAGUUCGGACUGCAGGCUGAAACCCGCCUGCACGAAGUUGGAGUUGCUAGUAAUCGCAGAUCAGAAUGCUGCGGUGAAUGCGUUCCCGGGUCUUGUACACACCGCCCGUCACACCAUGGAAGUUGGGGGUGCCCAAAGUUGGCUGAUAAAUAAGUUACCUAAGGCAAAACAACAAUGACUGGGGUGAAGUCGUAACAAGGUAACCGUA